RNAcentral lists this unclassified non-coding RNA (215 nucleotides) under uncultured fungus. Its description in RNAcentral is "partial contains 18S rRNA, ITS1, 5.8S rRNA, ITS2 and 28S rRNA". Lineage: Eukaryota; Fungi. The record is from RNAcentral.
AAGGAUCAUUACCGAGUGAGGGCCCUCUGGGUCCAACCUCCCACCCGUGUCUAUCGUACCUUGUUGCUUCGGUGGGCCCGCCUCACGGCCGCCGGGGGGCAUCUGCCCCCGGGCCCGCGCCCGCCGAAGACACCUAUGAACUCUGUCUGAAGAUUGCAGUCUGAGCUUAUUAGCUAAAUUAAUUAAAACUUUCAACAACGGAUCUCUUGGUUCCG